UGGGGAAUAUUGGACAAUGGGGGGAACCCUGAUCCAGCCAUGCCGCGUGUGUGAAGAAGGCCUUAUGGUUGUAAAGCACUUUAAGCGAGGAGGAGGGUACUGGUAUUAAUACUACCAGCUACUGGACGUUACUCGCAGAAUAAGCACCGGCUAACUCUGUGCCAGCAGCCGCGGUAAUACAGAGGGUGCGAGCGUUAAUCGGAUUUACUGGGCGUAAAGCGUGCGUAGGCGGCUAAUUGAGUCGGAUGUGAAAUCCCCGAGCUUAACUUGGGAAUUGCAUUCGAUACUGGUUAGCUAGAGUAGGGCAGAGGGUGGUGGAAUUUCCUGUGUAGCGGUGAAAUGCGUAGAUAUAGGAAGGAACACCAGUGGCGAAGGCGACCACCUGGGCUCAUACUGACACUGAGGUGCGAAAGCGUGGGGAGCAAACAGG
This 430-nucleotide ribosomal RNA is filed under the name Pseudomonadota bacterium. RNAcentral's name for it is "Proteobacteria bacterium partial 16S ribosomal RNA". It matches the Rfam family "Bacterial small subunit ribosomal RNA", at positions 355 to 776 of the family's 1533-position model. Lineage: Bacteria; Pseudomonadati; Pseudomonadota. The record is from RNAcentral.